Pelobates cultripes (western spadefoot toad) is the source of this 8384-nucleotide non-coding RNA. Lineage: Eukaryota; Metazoa; Chordata; Amphibia; Anura; Pelobatidae. The record is from the annotation of a GenBank genome assembly.
GUACUCACCCUACUAUCACCAUGGCAUUGAUAGGAACUGCCACACUUCUUUUUUUUCUUGGUUUGAUGAUCAGCUCAUCAUACUUCGUUUCAGCAGAUGGUAAGCAAACUAUUCAAAACACAAACUCUAAAUAUUUCCAGUUAGACUUUAACAUUGCAAAAGCUUGUCGUUAGCAUUAGUUAUACAUCUGAGAUGCAGUUAAUUUUUUUUUAAUCUUAUUUUUACACAUUUUCACCACACUGUAUAUGCAUUGAUAAAAUAUGAUCUAAGAUCUAAAUUAAGCAUAUUUCUAUGAAUAUAUCAGAAAAUAAUUAAAGGUUUUUGAAAUUAAUGUUAAAUUGUGUUAAUACAUUUAUUUCUGUUAAUUGAGCUAAAUGUAUAAACAGACAUAUACCUGAACUCCUUAACUAUGGAAUGACCCAAAACAGUAACUUUUUUCCAAGAAAAUGUGCAUAGGUCUUAUUUACCUUUCUCUACUUAUAUAAAGCCCUUCCAUUACCCUGCGUGUGGCCGGUUAAUAUAUGGGAAAUAUGCAAUGUCAAACCAUCUGCAGUUGGAUGGGAGUGCAAUUAAUACUGGGGGUCUUCACAUAUUAAAAGGCAGAUCGAUUCCCACCUCCAUUGUAAUAGGUUUCAAUUUGUGCACCUCAAGCUAAGGGUAAAGGGUUCAAAGUGUAUUGUUUGCCAUUUCCCUCUGUGUUAAAACAUGUUUUUUUUUUUUUUAACUCUGCUAAAGAUUUAAAGGGUUACUCCAAGCACCACAACCACUUCAGUCAGUGACAAAACUAAUGUAGAGAGGACACUGAUGCAAAAUGUGGGGUUCCCCCUUCUAGAAUACACAUAACACUGCCACACACAUAGAAUAUAUACUGACAGAAAUGCACAUACACAAUGACACACAGCUACACACAUAUAGUGACACAGCUUUAUAUGCACAAUGACACACAGUCAGAUGCACAAACAUAUUAACACAGAUUUACAUGCACAGUGAUACACACAUACUGACAGAUACACACACAUGCGCACAGAUACACACAUAUACUGACACACAACGCCAGCCCAAGACAAUGUGCUGCCUGGACCCUAGGAUGAAAUGCUGCCCCCCCCCACACACCACAACAAUGCUCACCAAAACAUGCCCAAAUCCAUUAAUUUAUGCAGUGUGUGUAGUAAAUGCAGUGUCUGUGUUUGUGUAGUGGAUGCAGUGUGUGCAGUGUAUGCAGUGUGUGUAGUGAAUGCAUUGUGUGUGUAGUGGAUGCAGUGUGUGUAGUGGAAGCAGUGUCUGUGUUUCAGUAGAGGAUGCAGUGUGUGUUUCUGUAGUGGAUGCAGUGUGUGUUUUAUGUAGUAAAUGCAGUGUCUGUGUGGUAGAUGCAGUGUUUGUGUUUGCGUAGUGGAUGCUCUGUAUGUGUGUUUGUGGUGUGCUGUGGGGGGGAGGAGUUUUUUUUAUUAUAUAUAUAUAUUUUUAUUAUAUAAUUUAUUCCCCCCUCCCUACCUCUUACCUGUGGGCAGGGAGGGGGGACACGAGAUUCCCUGGUGAUCUGGUGGCACAACAAGCUGUUCUAUAAAAAAGGGACCCAAAGAUCUAAUUUUCCAUCUCCAACAGGAUCAGCUCGUCUUCUCUUGUGAGCUGCAAGAGCAUUGCUAAAGGUUGCCAUGCAAUGCUCCAGCAUUCACUGCAUGCUAUGCUGACACACACAGAUACAUGCACACUGACACACACAGAGAGAACACCACCCAUGCUGACACAGAUACACAUACAAAUUGACGCACACAGAUAUACAUACUGACACAGAUAUACACUGACACACCCAGAUACACCCAAUACUGGCACAGAUAAACAUAUACAAACAGACAAAGACUCUGCCUCCUUACAUUAGAUCAUGCCCCUAGCGCUGCCCCCUGGUAAUCAGCACAAGGAGGCAGAGCUGGAAGAUAAAAGUUGUUGUUUUCAAAUAGCUUGUCAGCUUAUAGCUUUUGCCUUCUAUCUCUGCCUCUUGGCUAUGAUUAUGUAGGGUGGAGCCAAACAAGAAGAGGGGGGCUAACACGAGGAGGCAAAGCCUACCACUGCACAAUAUGCUGAUCUGCCUCUAUCUACAGAGCGCCUGGAUGCUUUGCACCCACUCUUAAUGCAGGAGGCUGACUUCGCUGUGAUCAAGUAGGACUGCUGGCUGAGGAUGGUGGCUAAUGCAGCAUGCCUCCCGACUAUAGUCAAAAGAUUACUAUAUUUAGCCAAAAUGGUUUAAAAAUUUGUCCAUGUGUCCAUUUUUUAGUUACUUAUUACCUUUGUAUGUUUCAUUGAGUGAUAAAAUAUUUGUCCAUUUGAAUUUCACUUUCAACAACACGAUCUAAAAAUGCAACCCUCCAUUCUAUGUAUAGAUUCCAUAAAGAUUUACAGAAUGUCAUUGACCCACCAUUGAUAUACAGAUAAUGAAAAAAAGGAUGCUCACUUAAACUUGGGUUCUCAUCAUCGCAGUGUUUCAUAGAAAAAUGCAGAUAAACACUUAAUACCGACACUUCAGGACUUUAGUUUAAAACUUAGCUUAUAUCCCAGCAAGUAAAAUGUUUCCAAUGUUUCAUAUAACUAUGUAACUUUUUCUUGAGACCUGGUAUUUAAAUGUUGUGCAGUAAAAACACAAUAUCAUAGUGCUAUGGUACUGGCAACCAAGGUUGCCAUCAUAAAUUUUGGAUCCCCUAACACAAGUCUGCCCUCAGGGCCCACCCCUUAAUCUGCCACAGUGAUCCCCCCCGAGUCUUCCCAACAGGUGGAGUGUGUGUAGAGUGAAUGCAGAGUGUGUGUGUUUAGCAAAUGCAGUGUGUUUGUAUAGUAGAUGUAGUGGAUGUGUUUGUGUAGAGGAUGCAUUGUGUGUAAGGUGGAUGUGGUGUGUGUUUAGUGGAUGGAGUACGUGUUUGCAGUGGAUGCAGAAUGUGUCUGUGUAGCGGAUGCAGCGUGUGUAUUGGUUGCAGUGUGCAUUUGCGUAAUGGGUGCAGAGUGUGUGAAUAUAUAUGUGGGGUAAAACAGAGGCUGCAUUCUGUAGGAAAAAGUUGUUGUUUUUUAUUUAAUUUUUUUUUAUAAUUAAUUGUAUCUCUCCUUCCAUACCUUUUAUAUGUUCCCAUUACACUCCCUGGUGGUCCUAUGACACUGUACAGGCUGGUACCCAGCCACCAUGAUCCUCAGCUUCUGGCAGCUACUCUUUCCAACUCUUGUGAAACUGGUCUGCUUCUCAUUGCCAUGGUAACACACAGCAACCUUCUGAUGGCCGCGUUGGAGAGAGCUUCUGAAGCUGAUGGUUGCAUGUGCUGGAGCCCCUCUUCACUAUAUUGGCUGCUAAAGGCCUCCAAGAGCAGUGGUGGAACAAAUAUAGACAUAGAGAGGGCCCUGGUGCAAGAUUUGUUUGCCUAUUCUUGUAGGUUUGUAUUUGGCACUGAGCAGUCUAUGGAGUAAGUGUGUGUGUGUGUGUGUGUGUGUGUGAAUGUUUGCGCUUGAAUGCAUACACUGCCACACACUGAUGCACAUGCACACUGUCACACACUGUCAUACAUGCAAGUACACAGACACACAGGUACGCACACUGACAUAUACAUACACUGAAACACAGAUACACACUGUUACAUACAAACACAGAAACACAGAUACACACACUGACACAUACACAAUGACACACAGAUACACAUACUGACACACAGGUGCACACUGAUACAUACACACAGCUUUUUGUAAGAAGGUGUAUAAAGUUGUAAUUGUACAAAUCCCAAAGAUCCGGGUUGAACCAGACUCCCAGGUAUCACAUAUGCGAAUUGCACCAGUGAAAGGGCAAGCAGUGUGUAAGCGUUCACCGCAGUGCCAGGCCAAUAGAGAUGCCCAGGAUUUCAGAUUUAGCAUUGUUAAUCUGGUUGGAGAUGUGUCCAUACAUUUUGAAUUCUGACAUAAGGGAGGAAGUUGGGUCUGUAACAAUAAACAGCAGGUCAUCAGCGUAUGCGAGGACUUUGUGGUGAACCUGUCCCACACGUAAAUGCUGGAUGUCAUUUUUGCUUCUAAUUCUGUUCAGGAAACCCUCUAGCAUCAGGGCAAAUAAGAGGUUACAGCAGUUGGCUCUACCAUGUCCUGUUGUAUAUACAAAAUGGGACUGACAGUGCCUCAUUUAUCUGCAGCCUUGCCGUCUGGCUAGAAUAGAGGGCUGAAAUCCAAGAGAGGAAUUUGGAUCGUAAGCCAAUCCCUAGAAGCACUACUAGCAGGAGUCCCCAGUCCAUCCUGUUAAACACUUUUUUUCACCUCCAUGGACAGGAGUCGGACAGGGUGCCCUGUUCGCCUUCCUCCAGAGAUCAGAUUUAUGGCUCAGAUAGUGUUUUCUCUGACCUGCUGUCCGGUAUAAAUCCAUUUUGAUCCGGUUUCACAAGCCACAAUUCACCAAUCACUAAAGGCCACAAGCCACAAUUCACCAAUCACUAAAGACUUAUUAAUGAAGUGGCUCCAGAUCUGCAAUGUCUCUAUCCAGUUCUAAUGCGGUUUGUGCUGCUUCUAUAGUGAAAUUGUGAGAAGAACAGAAUUGUGUACUAAGACCAUCCUUAAAUUGAUGAGUCCAUAAUGCUACAAGGAAUGUGGUAUUCUCCAGAGAACCUCCUCCAGCACUUGAAGGCAAGUAUACCACAAAGUGUUACUAUACAAUAACUAGUGGCGGUAGUCAUGAAGAGAGGAGGUGGAAGUCAGUACUCCAAAACAACCCGUCACCAGGGUCUCUUAUCCCAGGACAAAAGAGUUUCCCAGAAUAAUCAGACAUUUGGGUAGGUAGAGUGAUUUACAUCAAUGCAAAAGGUCAAAGUAUGCAUAAGGAUUUACAAAUUGAUUUAUCUUUCUUCCCGUUUCCCUUUUCCCUUUUCUCUUUUCUUUUUUUUUUCUUUUUUUCCUAACAGCUCAUUAGGCUUCCCAACUUUCCUCUGAUUGCUUCCACCUGUAAAUCCAGCAAUGCUCACAAUAAUUUGGAUAUUUAUCGAGGUGUAAAGGCUGAGUUCCUACACAGGCAUUGGUUUCAGAGCACAAAUCAUAAACUAGUAGUGAUAGCUAUACUCCUGAGGGUUAUCCUCAAAGCUAAUAUGUCCCCCACUCUGGAUUCAACUAUGUUAUUAUUUUCUUUUUUUGAUUUACCCUCGUUAUUUUCCCUCUUUUUUUUCUUUUUCUUUUCAUUUCCCCCAUGUUUACACCUUCCCAUCCCCAACCUCCCUCCCCCAUUUCUUCCCUCAUUUUCCUUACAAUACGGUCAUCAACACUCUUCCAAAUAUAUGCAGAAACGGUUAUACAUUUGAAACUUCUCAAACCCCCAUACACACACCCCCACCAAGUGUGGCAACCAUUUCCCUUCAACUGACACAUCCUAGUUAUUCAGUACCAGCAAUGGUCCAUAUAGAACCCGAUGAUGGGAUGAUGGGAAGAGUCUCUACCUAUCUUUCGCCCUCCAAGGACAAAAUAAAAAAAUAAAUUAUUGGGGGAUGGGGCCUGACAGCCAAGAUGGCCGGUCGCACACUCUAAGAGCUCCUGCAAUAACAGGCACAAUCCUGACAAUAUCAACAGAACUGCUUACACUGGCGGCACAUGGUGUCUGGGGACCGACUCAAACCAACAAGAGACACAGAAUGGUACCUGCCCGGCACCGAUACGCUGCGAAAAACCCCACGCCGGCCAUGCAGCCUAAACCAGAGCGGGGCCCGAGGUCCGGGGGGAGACGGCCGAUCCCCUGGCGCAGGCCACGCUAAAAAGCAUGAACACACUACGGUCCUGCUUUCCCCCACUCUGGACCGGCGGGGGAUAUCCCGGUCCUCACUGGGGACAACUACCCCUGCAGCAACACCUGGCCAAGCGACAAAGCCAACAGCCAAACGGGACUGUCAAGGCCCAACCAAGAUGACGGCACAGAUGCAGCCCACGAAAAAGGGAACUCACCAAGCCUCCCAAGCACACAUGGGAGUUCUAUGACCGGCUCUGUGCCAGCCUCUGGACCCAGCACAAGGCACGCAGACAGCCCUUCAAGCUGGCGAUGAAAGAGGUGGCGGUUUGGAUCCGCCCAGCAACCCGGCGCAACCUAGGUGGGAAUCCCCCUCGUGGCUCCGGAGCGGCUCCCCGACAGGAACGAAGCAGAAAAUCAACAGGGCAGGAAAUGGCGCCAAGAUCAUUGGAUGUAAGCACUCACAUCCCCACGCUACAGAGUGGGACCCACCAGCAUGUCUGACCCGCGUGCCUCUCAACUGCCCCAGCAAUCUCUAUCAAGCAAUGCGCAACCCUGCACACAAGAAUCCAUGAUGCCGGUCGCGAAGCUGACCGGGAUGCAGAGAGGAAGGUAACCGGCGGGCGCAACAAGUGGAGGGCCUCUCCACGGCCCACAAGAGGGGGAACCCUGACCCAAGGGACCUACACACAAUGCCAGCGGCUCAGCAGAGCAGGCAUCGGCUGACUACGGAUAACCCUCUGGACUGAGGCCUAGCCACCUCUCCCAAGCACUGGAGAAGGCUUCUGCGUAACAGCAUGGACUCUCAGUGUAUUGUUUGAUAUUUUCCUACUGACUCUUCUCUUUUUAUGACCUAGUUUAUAUUUCUAACAAGAUGUGUGUUUGGAACGAAAUCUUCAGCAAAAUUUAAAUGCACACUGCGCCCCCUGACAAAACAUAUAAUUGAAUACUCUUUCUGUUGUUGCAAUACACCAUAUAGGCAUAUAUCCUUACGACUAAAUGUGCUGAUUAAACUGCCUCACUCUGAAAUGCCUUAAAAAAAUAAUUUUAAAAAUUAUUACAGCGUGUGGUGUUUGCAGUCACCCUUGUGUCUCAUUCCUGCUGCCACUAUUGUUGAGGUCGUCAACUCAGGUAGUGAGGUGGGUCAGGUCUAGCCAAUGUAGCAUUUAUUUUGUAGAUGACCACCUGCAUUAGAGCUAUUUCUUCCUUCACCACUCGGGUCAGAGCACCUCGCCGGGGUAGAAGGUGAGCCCAGGCUAGGACUGAAAGUUUCUGUCUCGUGGUGUGAGGCCAGGUCCUGAGGGAUACUGAGGUAAGAGCUGAUGGACAAUUCUGGACAGGGAAAUUGUGGUUUAUGGGUACAGGGAGGGUCCCUGGUAAUCUUAGUGUCUCCCAUAGUUGUCAAGAGUUGCAAGGAUGAGGAACUGGAGCCUUAAACAGGCAUCUUCCUUGUCAUCUAGACAUGCCCCUAAAAUCUUAUAAGGCAAACUCAGUUCAGUAUACAAGCAUGGCAGGUCCUUAACAUUGGGCUAUUUGUAAUUUCGUAUUGCAUAAAAAGUUUUGUUUUGCCUUUACCAAAUUUCACUGUUAUAUUUACAUGUAUAUAGCGAAAUGAUCCACAGAUUAAGAAAAAAAAAAUAUAUAAAUGAUGGAGCUUAAUAAAUCUUAAAUACCUAAAAGGAAAAUAUUGCAUGCUUCCCAACCUCCUCACUUAAGCAUUGAUAGAAAAAUAUAUGCUUUAAAUCAUGUAUUUACAGUUUUGCAUUCUAUAAAAUGUUUUUGUUGCCAUUUUUACCAUCACAAGUCUUCCUUUUUCAAACCUUCUUCAUUGAUUUAAAUGGGGCAUGUGGCCUGGAGUCUGCAUUUGCAGUCUUUUGCACAGACUGAAGUGUCAGAGCAAGACAGGAAUUUAAUAUUGCAUUCCUGUAUUUAAAUAGUAGUCAUAUUAUUCUGAUUGGUUGGAUAGAAAUCUAAACAGAGCGCCUUUUGUGAGGAAUGUCUCACCUCACAUGAAAUUUGCUUGGUAAUGCAUUACAGUGCUACUAUCAUGAGAGGUGAAGCUUCCAAACCAACCAAUCAGAUUUGUGCAACUGAAAUUCAAAGUGUGGAAGUCCAUUAUAUCAACCUUUCUAGUUUGAAACUUCAGUAUGGGUGGUGCCCACAAUGGUUGAAGAUGGAACAUUUUUUUGUUGCAAGAUUUUACAUUUUUUUAUCAAAUAUUUUAACAUUUGUUUUUUUAUAUAUCUCUUUGGAUAUUGUGGAUUUUUAUUUGACCUUUUUUGGAGAAUGUAAAAUGAAGAUUUGAAAAAAACAUCUGAUGAAAAGCAUCAACUAUUUUUCCAUUUAUGUAAGAUAUAUUGUCCUUGUAAUCGACUUUCCCUUUUGUCACAAUUUGUAAACCUGUCCAUAAUGGAAUAUUUUAGCUGAUAGCCUUCUGCAUUUUAUAAUUAGUCUGUAUUAUUAGAACUAUCUACAUGUACCUAUUCCUGUUGAAUAUUAAAUUAAAUCAUUAGCAUAUUUGUAUCUUUGAAUUCCAGUUUCAACUUCAGAUACUACAACUACAGGUAACAAAACCUUUCUUUUGAUGUACAUGUUUGAUACAGUUUCUCAGAAUGCAGAAAUUAAUAACCAAUGAUCACAUUCACCUACAAGGUGCAGUGCAAGUGACAAC